Molecule: RNA transcript, 6889 nt
Organism: Suricata suricatta (meerkat)
Lineage: Eukaryota; Metazoa; Chordata; Mammalia; Carnivora; Herpestidae
Gene: PRP4K
Gene name: pre-mRNA processing factor 4B
Exons: 17
Source: RefSeq, a predicted model, not a curated record
UUUUAUAUCCGGAUUCUUAGAGCGGACUCAGAGCUCCACGGUUCCCUACGCGGUUAGCACAUGCGCGACGGCUCUGCUCCCUCUUCCUCCACUUCCACUAGCUUCCACCGUCCGGGAAGCCGCCGCCACCGCCGCCGAGAAGUCAGGAAGUUCAAGAUGGCCGCCGCGGAGACUCUGUCGCUGCGGGAACAGCCCGAGAUGGAAGAUGCUGAUAAUUCCGAGAAGAGCGUAAAUGAAGAAAAUGGGGAAGUAUCAGAAGACCAAUCUCAAAAUAAGCACAGUCGUCACAAAAAAAAGAAGCAUAAACACAGAAGUAAACAUAAGAAACAUAAACAUUCCUCAGAAGAAGAUAAGGAUAAAAAACAUAAACAUAAGCAUAAACAUAAGAAACACAAAAGAAAAGAGGUCAUUGAUGCCUCUGACAAAGAAGGUAUGUCUCCAGCAAAAAGAACUAAACUUGAUGAUUUAGCUUUGUUGGAAGACUUGGAAAAACAGAGAGCCUUGAUUAAAGCUGAACUUGAUAAUGAGUUAAUGGAAGGGAAGGUCCAGUCUGGGAUGGGGCUCAUAUUACAAGGUUAUGAGUCUGGCUCUGAAGAAGAAGGGGAGAUUCAUGAAAAGGCAAGAAAUGGAAAUAGGUCUACUACCAGAUCAUCAAGUACAAAGGGGAAACUUGAACUUAUGGACAAUAAAAAUAGUACGAAAAAGCGAAGUAAAAGCAGAUCCAAAGAACGGACUAGACAUAGGUCUGAUAAAAAGAAAACUAAGGGAGGUGUUGAAAUAGUUAAAGAGAAGACGACUAGGAGCAAAUCAAAGGAGAGGAAAAAGUCCAAAAGUCCAUCCAAAAGAAGUAAAUCUCAAGAUCAAGCAAGGAAAUCAAAAUCCCCAACCCUUAGAAGGCGAUCUCAAGAGAAAAUUGGGAAGGCCAGAUCUCCUGCUGAUGACAAGGUUAAAACUGAGGAUAAAAGGUCAAAAGACAGGAAAAAAUCCCCAAUUAUAAAUGAAAGUAGAAGUCGUGAUCGAGGCAAAAAAUCCAGAUCCCCAGUUGAUUUAAGAGGUAAAUCCAAAGACAGAAGAUCACGAUCCAAAGAGAGAAAAUCAAAACGGUCUGAAACAGAAAAAGAAAAGAAGCCAAUUAAAUCUCCAUCUAAAGAUGCUUCUUCUGGGAAAGAAAACAGGUCACCCAGUAGAAGACCUGGUCGAAGUCCUAAAAGAAGAAGUUUGUCUCCAAAACAGCGUGAUAAGUCAAGAAGAAGUAGAUCUCCACUGGUAAAUGAUAGGAGGUCUAAACAGAGCAAAUCACCUUCCCGAACUCUGUCUCCUGGUAGAAGAGCCAAGAGCAGAUCCUUGGAAAGAAAACGAAGAGAACCAGAAAGGAGACGACUCUCUUCUCCAAGAACACGACCUCGAGAUGAUAUCCUCAGUAGACGUGAAAGAUCAAAAGAUGCCAGCCCAAUCAAUAGGUGGUCUCCAACCCGAAGAAGAGCAAGUAGAUCUCCCAUUAGAAGGCGGUCUCGUUCCCCACUCAGACGAAGUAGGUCACCCAGGAGAAGAAGCAGGUCUCCUCGGAGAAGGGACAGAGGCCGAAGGAGCAGGUCACGCUUGAGAAGGCGGUCUCGAUCACGAGGUGGUCGUAGACGUAGGAGCAGAAGCAAAGUAAAAGAAGAUAAAUUUAAAGGAAGUCUUUCUGAAGGAAUGAAAGUUGAACAAGAAUCUUCAUCUGAUGAUAACCUUGAAGACUUCGAUGUAGAGGAAGAAGAUGAAGAAGCCCUAAUAGAACAGAGAAGAAUACAGAGGCAGGCAAUUGUUCAGAAAUAUAAAUAUCUUGCUGAAGAUAGCAAUAUGUCUGUGCCAUCUGAACCCAGCAGCCCCCAGAGCAGUACCUGUACGCGGUCACCUUCUCCAGACGACAUUCUAGAAAGGGUAGCUGCUGAUGUUAAGGAGUAUGAACGGGAAAAUGUUGAUACGUUUGAGGCCUCAGUAAAAGCCAAGCAUAAUCUAAUGACAGUUGAACAGAAUAAUGGUUCAUCUCAGAAGAAGCUGUUGGCACCUGAUAUGUUUACAGAAUCUGAUGAUAUGUUUGCUGCCUAUUUUGAUAGUGCUCGUCUUCGGGCUGCUGGCAUUGGGAAAGAUUUCAAAGAAAAUCCCAACCUCAGGGAUAACUGGACAGAUGCAGAAGGCUAUUAUCGCGUGAACAUAGGUGAAGUCCUAGAUAAGCGUUACAAUGUGUAUGGUUACACUGGCCAAGGUGUAUUCAGUAAUGUUGUACGAGCCAGAGAUAAUGCAAGAGCAAACCAAGAGGUGGCUGUAAAAAUCAUCAGAAACAAUGAGCUCAUGCAAAAAACUGGCUUAAAAGAACUAGAAUUCUUGAAAAAACUUAAUGAUGCUGAUCCUGAUGACAAAUUUCAUUGUUUGCGACUCUUUAGACACUUCUAUCACAAGCAACAUCUCUGUCUAGUAUUUGAGCCUCUAAGUAUGAAUUUACGAGAGGUGUUAAAAAAAUAUGGUAAGGAUGUUGGUCUUCAUAUUAAAGCCGUGAGAUCGUAUAGUCAGCAGCUGUUCUUGGCAUUAAAACUCCUUAAAAGAUGCAAUAUCCUACAUGCAGAUAUCAAGCCAGACAAUAUCCUGGUUAAUGAAUCAAAAACUAUUUUAAAGCUCUGCGAUUUUGGGUCGGCUUCACAUGUUGCGGAUAAUGACAUAACACCUUAUCUUGUCAGUAGAUUUUAUCGUGCUCCUGAAAUCAUUAUAGGUAAAAGCUAUGACUAUGGUAUAGACAUGUGGUCUGUAGGUUGUACCUUAUAUGAACUCUACACUGGAAAAAUUUUGUUUCCUGGCAAAACCAAUAACCAUAUGUUGAAGCUCGCCAUGGAUCUCAAAGGAAAGAUGCCCAAUAAGAUGAUUCGGAAAGGCGUAUUCAAAGACCAACAUUUUGAUCAAAACCUCAACUUCAUGUAUAUAGAAGUUGAUAAAGUAACGGAGAGGGAGAAGGUUACUGUCAUGAGCACCAUUAAUCCAACCAAGGACCUGUUGGCUGACUUGAUUGGGUGCCAGCGACUUCCUGAAGACCAACGUAAAAAAGUACACCAGCUAAAGGACUUGUUGGACCAGAUCCUGAUGUUGGACCCAGCUAAACGAAUUAGCAUCAAUCAGGCCCUACAGCAUGCCUUCAUCCAGGAAAAAAUUUAAAUGAGAUGAAGAAGCUCCAAGGGUUUGAGUAAUUAAAUACAAAGACUGAAGAAAUUUCACAGCAGUUUAUUAAUGUAUAUAAACUUAUAAAUAUUUCUCCAGCAAAUUUGAGGAAGCAUGAUAUAUUUGAAUUAACACCAAGGGUGAUAUUUCUUUUAGAAAUGUUAGUUAAUCUGUUUUGUGUCUUACAUGAAAUUUCACUGUAGAACUGUUUUAAUUGCCAAGACUGCACAGAAUUACAGUGCAAAUGUAUAUGGUUGCAGUUCACAUAAAAGACAAAAGCAUCUGUUAUCAAAUGAGUAGUAAUACUGGGUGGUUGAUUUAUUUUUAGCAAACUUGGCUUCAUAUUGGUCUUCAGAUAAAAUGGCCAGCAUAAAUGCUGUUUAUAUUCACGUUUUCCUAGGUGUGUGUGUGCAGGCCACAGCAGCAUGCCCUUGGUGUAGUCAGUGCCGAAGGGGGUCUGUUCCUUCUUGAGCCUGCCUGCAGGGAUGGUCUCCUCUUUUAAAGCAGGUUGUGUACAACAUUCAGUACACUGAAGGUAAGCUAACCCAUCAACAUCACUGGUGUUUUAAGAUGUUAUUUUAUUGGAACAGUUGACAAAUGAGGGAUAUUAGCUUUGUGGCAGAAUUCCCUGCAUGUGUGCUAACUGAUCUCGUUUUCUUUUUUGGCAUCGCGACUGUGGCAUAGUUACAAUUUCUGUUCUGUUCAUCACAUUUGAAAUUUGAAGAGUGUGCGCUUGAUGGAUAGAGCGCCUUCAGUGUACUGUUUCUUAUUAACUUUAAUUUUUUAAUCAACUUGCUAUAGACUUUAUAUACAUUUUGUUAAAUACAGUUCGUAGUGACAUAGAAACAAUGCGUAGUUUUCAUUUACUAAUUACAAAUGUUGAGGCCUAAUUCUGAGAGUCCUCAUAUUUAAAAGUUAGAUAACAUAAUGAAAUUUUUAACUAUUUGUAUGUCAUUUUGAAAGUGUACUGCUUUAUGGUAAAAGUGUUUUUUCAUUUGUUCAUUGUUUUCAUUAUUUGUGAUCAUGUUGUCUUUCAAUACAGGCAUAAACCUUCCACUCUUGAACAAAGCAGCUGCUUUUUAAAAGCGAAAAAAGGAAAACGGGGCACAGGCCAUUCACCGCCUUCUCCAAGGGGUCUGAUUUGCUGAGACACCAGCUCCACCUUCUUAAAAGGCACCUAAUUACAACAAGCAUGCACGUUUUGGUGCAUUCAAGAAUGGAAAAUCAGAAUAGCAGCAUUCUUCUGGUGGGUUUUGCUCCAUUUAAAGACAUGAAAUGAACUACAGCCAGGAAGGUGAUAGAUGAUAUAAUAAGCCAACUGUGAAUCUACACCCCGUCUCUUCGUGGUUUAGACUUUACUAAAAUAAACGCAAGGUGGUUUCCGUCUUCAGGGAGAGGGGAGCCUUUUACAAAAGGCUUCACAGGUGCAGCUUUGCUACCUUAACAGAAUGGGUAGUGAUUUUCCCACCAUGAUUUACUUUAUUUUGGUGAUAAUAUGCUGCAUAUUCGAGUCUUUUGUAGUUAUUUUCACUAAUUCAAAAUAGUUAGCAUUUUGAUGCUUCUGGUGAUUUUCAUGGCUUCAUUUUAUAGAAUUAUUUAAGUAAGUUAACUUCCACUAGAGACAGUUCAUCUUAUGCCUUCAGAACUAUUACCUAUUCUUUAAAAAACAAAGUUGCUUGUUACUUGUUCUUUGUGUUUUAGGUGCAGUUCAGUGGAAGAUGAUGACAGCCAGAAGACAUGAGCUAAGGUUUCUGUCCUAUAAAAGAUUAAAACAAACAAACAGAAAAGAAUCCUCCAUUUAAUUUUUGUCUAAUUUUUUAGUUUUCAGCCUUAUAAUUUGGGUUUCGUUAAUGUUUGGCUCUUAGAGUAGUAGUGCAGUUGUGGUGUCCGUCUGUACCUGCUUGUUUGAUUGUGCUUCCUGCCUCUCCCCUCUCCUCCCCUGCAAUAAAAACAGUCAUCAUCGAGUGGUAGGAGAGACUCCUGAGUAGCGAGAUUCCACGUAAACGUAUGGCCAUCAGAAUUGGUCCCGAAGGGUUAUUGGGAAACUUAGAAACCACCAAAAUCGUGUACAUCAAAGAGCAGUCUUUAGCCUCAGGUAUCUAAGGUCCUUGGCACAUUCAAAAGAAUAGCAGCCAGUAUUUUAAGAGCGCUGCUAUUCACCUCUCUUAAUCCUCUAGUGCCCAGCUUUCCUUUUAGUCUCUUUGUUUUUACAAGUGCUCCAGUCAUGGUCUUAAAAUAGACACAAUAUUUAGAGCCACCGUCAGUUUUUCUUCUUAAGGGAAAUGAGGUCGAUCUUGGUUCCCAAAUUUAGCAUUCCUAGAUUUUUGUCUAUUUGAAGGGAAUGCUGUAAACAUUCUUUAUAUACGUACACGAUUUGAUUAGAAUUGAUAAUUUUGCUGACGCAGAAAUUUGGAGCUUUGUAAGACCUCUGUUUGAUUAUGGUCAUCUAGUGAAUUAUCUUUAACCUACAUUCGUAUUUCAUAGUAGCUGUAUAGUUUUCAAAUCAGUUCAUCUCUGAUAUAAGGUUUUUUAUUUUAGUACAAUUCACAUUGUACUAAAUCUGUAUGUGUCAGAUUUCAAGGCUCCUAAGUCUUAGGACACAACCCUUAAAAAGGUCCUACCUCUUUCUGUAGUGAGGGGGUAGGUGAGAUCCAGAAAGCACAUACAUUGUAGAGCCCGUUCUCUAGGUGGACCUUAUUCUCAGAGGUCUUAGAACUAUCAGGUUGGAAUAUCCAGGUUUUGAAAGAAAGGAGCAUCUUGUCAUAAAUUUUAAAGAUCUUCCCAGUACUCACGGUCACCCUUAAGUCCUUAUCUAGCGUCCUGUUUAUUCAAACCCAGUGUAUAUAUAACUCAUUCUCCACUUCAAAAAUAAUCUUGUGAUUUUAAAAUACUGUAAUUUCCCCCUUCUCCCCCCCCUGCCCCCCCAAUUAUGAUAACCACCUUUUUUCUCUAAAACAAAUACUCAGGGCAUUUCUACAAUACACAAAAAAAUGUAUAUGUUUUAUGGUAUGUGAUAGAGCAGAGAAGUGUAAUGUUCUCAAAUUUGUUUCAUAGUUGCAUCCCUCCUACUGUGCUUUACUUGUACAUGAUGAUCAUUUGGUAACUGGAGCUGGCUCGGUAGAAAUAAAAUCUCUGAAAUGAAACGGGAUUCACAUACCUUCAAACGUAGGCCAGGCAGUUAAGGAAUGCUCUUUUUAAAUGUCGGAGCUAGGAAAGCAGUGGGUGUUGAAACAAGUCAUUUCCUUUCUUUAGUUAUAAUGAUAUCAGUAGAAAUUGGGCUUCAUCAAGUGUUUCUUUCCUUGUAGUAUCCUAGUUCAAGCAAAUACUAUUCAACACAAGUUUUAUCAUUCUACAUGGAAUGUCUUCCUUAUGGAAAUGUUCACUACAGAUUCAUUUGUGUUUUUUUUUUUUUUUUACAUGUCAAUAAUGUACACUAAAUUGACUUAAAAUGUUUUCCAGUUAUUUAGUAGAUAUCAUCAUGGCAUCUUUAAUUUUUUUUUUUUUCUCCUUCUGUAUGUAGGGUAAGGGACUGUUCUGAAGAAUCUUUCCAUUUAGUGAUCAAGAUAUGGAAGCUGGUCUCUGAAAAUACUCAAUGUGUAUCCCAGUGACUCAUGGUAUCAUUUGAAUUGUAAUUUGGCAUUUUAAAGAUAAGCAAUGUUUCCACUUACUUGGAAAACUUAAUAAAAUAUGCCUCUUGUUACCA